UCGUGUCUGUAAUACACCAGGGAAGGGAAUAUGGCUUCUCUGACAUAUCUGCUUUGUGUUCUUUAUGUUUUCAUUCCAGGAUCCUGUGGAGAGAUUGUACUGACCCAAUAUCCAGAUUAUAUCUCUGUGUCCCCAGGAGAUACAGUCACCAUCUCAUGUACAUCUAGUUCUGGUAUACGCGGCUACUUACACUGGUACCAACAGAAACCAGGACAACGGCCAAAUCUUCUUAUAUCUUAUGCAACCACCAGACAUACAGGAGUCCCAGACCGGUUCACUGGAUCUGGAUCUGGAACACAUUUCACUCUUACAAUCAGAGGAGCGACAGAGGAUGAUGCCGCAUAUUAUCAAUGUCAGCAGAGUGCUCAGUUGCCUCUCACACAGUGA
Hyla sarda is the source of this 387-nucleotide non-coding RNA. The record is from the annotation of a RefSeq genome assembly. NCBI's taxonomy places the organism in Eukaryota, Metazoa, Chordata, Amphibia, Anura, Hylidae.